GGGUCGUUAGCUCAGUCUGGCAGAGCAGGGGCCUUUUAAGCCCACGGUCGCAGGUUCGAAUCCUGCACGACUCACCA
Molecule: transfer RNA, 77 nt
Filed under: Chloroflexota bacterium
Lineage: Bacteria; Bacillati; Chloroflexota
Also listed under: 2 other names
Description: tRNA-Lys
Rfam family: tRNA
About the family: Transfer RNA (tRNA) molecules are approximately 80 nucleotides in length. Their secondary structure includes four short double-helical elements and three loops (D, anti-codon, and T loops). Further hydrogen bonds mediate the characteristic L-shaped molecular structure. tRNAs have two regions of fundamental functional importance: the anti-codon, which is responsible for specific mRNA codon recognition, and the 3' end, to which the tRNAs corresponding amino acid is attached (by aminoacyl-tRNA synthetases). tRNAs cope with the degeneracy of the genetic code in two manners: having more than one tRNA (with a specific anti-codon) for a particular amino acid; and 'wobble' base-pairing, i.e. permitting non-standard base-pairing at the 3rd anti-codon position.
Source: RNAcentral